This is a non-coding RNA of Salvia hispanica, 271 nucleotides long. Lineage: Eukaryota; Viridiplantae; Streptophyta; Magnoliopsida; Lamiales; Lamiaceae. The record is from RefSeq and is a predicted model, not a curated record.
GGUGGUGGCCGUUCUGAGGACGUGGAUUUGGCAACAAACCCAGCUUUGCUUCAUCUGGAAAGAAGACCACAUUCGACGACUAGUAACGAGUCCAUAAGUUCUGGGGUAUUAUCAAGGCCCGGCUCCACACUGGCAUUUGAGUUUAGGAAAAGUUUUGUUUGUUUACUGUUUAGGGGCAGCAUAAUUUAGUUUUGGUUGCUAAUCUGGAUCAAUUAAUGUUUGGAUCUUGUGAGUUCAAUUUUGUGCUAUUAUUCAAGGUUAUGUUUGCUCA